GCCUUGGUAGCGUAGUGGAAGACGCUCACCUGGUAAACAGGAGGGUGUGGGUUCGAUCCCAGCCAAGGCA
Molecule: transfer RNA, 70 nt
Filed under: Diaphorina citri (Asian citrus psyllid)
Lineage: Eukaryota; Metazoa; Arthropoda; Insecta; Hemiptera; Psyllidae
Rfam family: tRNA
About the family: Transfer RNA (tRNA) molecules are approximately 80 nucleotides in length.
Source: Rfam by way of RNAcentral